CACGUAGGGUGCGAGCGUUGUCCGGAAUUAUUGGGCGUAAAGAGCUCGUAGGCGGUGUGUCGCGUCGGCCGUGAAAACCUGCAGCUUAACUGUGGGCGUGCGGUCGAUACGGGCAUCACUGGAGUUCGGCAGGGGAGACUGGAAUUCCUGGUGUAGCGGUGAAAUGCGCAGAUAUCAGGAGGAACACCGGUGGCGAAGGCGGGUCUCUGGGCUGAUACUGACGCUGAGGAGCGAAAGCGUGGGGAGCGAACAGG
This 254-nucleotide ribosomal RNA is filed under the name uncultured bacterium. RNAcentral's name for it is "partial 16S ribosomal RNA". It matches the Rfam family "Bacterial small subunit ribosomal RNA", at positions 524 to 776 of the family's 1533-position model. The record is from RNAcentral.